This 384-nucleotide ribosomal RNA is filed under the name Apodichthys fucorum (kelp gunnel). RNAcentral describes it as "partial 12S ribosomal RNA". It matches the Rfam family "Bacterial small subunit ribosomal RNA", at positions 547 to 1108 of the family's 1533-position model. The record is from RNAcentral. Lineage: Eukaryota; Metazoa; Chordata; Actinopteri; Perciformes; Pholidae.
CAUCGGCGUAAAGAGUGGUUAAGUUAAAAUUCACACUAAAGCCGAACGUCCUCCAGGCUGUUAUACGCACCCGAAGAUAAGAAGUUCAAUCACGAAAGUGCCUUUAUUUAAUCUGAACCCACGAAAGCUACGGCACAAACUGGGAUUAGAUACCCCACUAUGCCUAGCCCUAAACAUUGAUAGUACCCUACGCCCACUAUCCGCCCGGGAACUACGAGCAUCAGCUUGAAACCCAAAGGACUUGGCGGUGCUUUAGAUCCACCUAGAGGAGCCUGUUCUAGAACCGAUAACCCCCGUUCAACCUCACCUUUCCUUGUUUUUUCCGCCUAUAUACCGCCGUCGUCAGCUUACCCUGUGAAGGACUAAUAGUAAGCAAACUGGUAA